UACCACAGCCAUAUCACCCUGCAGCCUAAGACCGGUUACUCACUAAAGCUAAAUCCCUUCACUGAAGGCUGAGCCUGGUCAGUACCUGGAUGGGAGACCACAUGGGAAAACUAGGUUGCUGUUGGAA
Danio rerio (zebrafish) is the source of this 127-nucleotide ribosomal RNA. NCBI's taxonomy places the organism in Eukaryota, Metazoa, Chordata, Actinopteri, Cypriniformes, Danionidae. The record is from Ensembl.